RNAcentral lists this ribosomal RNA (314 nucleotides) under uncultured bacterium. RNAcentral's name for it is "bacterial SSU rRNA". It matches the Rfam family "Bacterial small subunit ribosomal RNA", at positions 28 to 334 of the family's 1533-position model. The record is from RNAcentral.
GAUGAACGCUAGCUACAGGCUUAACACAUGCAAGUCGAGGGGCAUCGGGAAUCUAGCUUGCUAGAUUUGCCGGCGACCGGCGCACGGGUGAGUAACACGUAUCCAACCUGGCCCAUACUCGGGUAUAGCCUCUCGAAAGGGAGAUUAAUCCCCGAUGUUGUUGUCUCACCGCAUGGUGUACCAACCAAAGAAUUUCGGUAUGGGAUGGGGAUGCGUUCCAUUAGCUUGUUGGCGGGGUAACGGCCCACCAAGGCUACGAUGGAUAGGGGUUCUGAGAGGAAGGUCCCCCACACUGGAACUGAGACACGGUCCAG